RNAcentral lists this ribosomal RNA (556 nucleotides) under uncultured bacterium. Its description in RNAcentral is "partial 16S ribosomal RNA". It matches the Rfam family "Bacterial small subunit ribosomal RNA", at positions 355 to 900 of the family's 1533-position model. The record is from RNAcentral.
UAGGGAAUCUUCCACAAUGGACGCAAGUCUGAUGGAGCAACGCCGCGUGAGUGAAGAAGGUUUUCGGAUCGUAAAGCUCUGUUGUUGGUGAAGAAGGAUAGAGGUAGUAACUGGCCUUUAUUUGACGGUAAUCAACCAGAAAGUCACGGCUAACUACGUGCCAGCAGCCGCGGUAAUACGUAGGUGGCAAGCGUUGUCCGGAUUUAUUGGGCGUAAAGCGAGCGCAGGCGGAAGAAUAAGUCUGAUGUGAAAGCCCUCGGCUUAACCGAGGAAUUGCAUCGGAAACUGUUUUCUUGAGUGCAGAAGAGGAGAGUGGAACUCCAUGUGUAGCGGUGGAAUGCGUAGAUAUAUGGAAGAACACCAGUGGCGAAGGCGGCUCUCUGGUCUGCAACUGACGCUGAGGCUCGAAAAGCAUGGGUAGCGAACAGGAUUAGAUACCCUGGUAGUCCAUGCCGUAAACGAUGAGUGCUAAGUGUUGGGGAGGUUUUCCGCCUCUCAGUGCUGCAGCUAACGCAUUAAGCACUCCGCCUGGGGAGUACGACCGCAAGGUUGAAAC